UCAUUCAUUGUAUUUUCUGGCAACUUGUCAUUGAUUUAAAUUUGAUCGUAAUCUGUUGGAUUUCAGUUCAUUUAUUUCUACAAAUAAACUGGGUUUUGUUAUUUCACUCAAAUUUAAAGAUCUUAAUUAACAUACUUUCCCUCAAAUUUUCCCUCGCUUUUUCAUAACACGUCUGCUUAGGAAACUCAUUCUUCUGAUAUUAUUGUAAGAUUAUUAUUAAUGCUUCAUUUGUUUUUCAAUUUCUUACCUCUUUUCAUUUAUCUUUAAUUAAUGUCUCCACCAUGUAAUUUUGUGCUAAAAACCUUCUUUUUUGUGCUAUCGAAAUUUCUACAUCUUCAUGUGAAAAGCAUGGUUUGACUGGCGUGUCUAAACGUUGAGUUUGCAUGUGGUGGUACUUUGGCUUUGAUGUAACUUUGCUUAAGAUUACAUCAGAAUUUUAAUGGUUCAUGGGUCUACAGAGUUGUAUUCGCCUUUGGUUAAUUUACUCUCCUGUUGAUAGCUUGAUGGUAAAGUCAUGGUUAAAGCUUAAUUAUGGAUCGACUGUUCUAUGGUAAUCAGAAAUCGCAAGUCAUCCAAAAUGUUGGUCAACAUGUUUCCCCUACACUCUUCGACUGGAUGUAUCUAACAUUUUAAUGCUCGAUUUUGUUAAUUGUUGGUUAUUUAUUUGCUGGUUUAUGGACAACAGCACAAAUAGGCAUGUCCAGUUGACCCUUUCAAGGAUGAAAGUUGUCGUUUUGGGGUUAAAAUGAAUGAUUAAAUGACCCUCUGUUUAUGGUUUCUUACAAGAAAGUGUUUUUAGUCAAGAAAGCAAAAAGAAAAGACUGUUGAGAUGAACUGUUUUGGUACUUUUUGACGUCAAGGAAACCCCAAAGAAUAGUGAAAAGUAACUGGAAAGGGAACCCUUUAAACCAUCUUAACUUGAUCAGCUGCUAAAAUUGACCUGACCUCAAACGAUCAAUGACCUUUUACAUCUCUCGAUUGCUGUUCUCUUCCUUCACUUUCUUUCAACAUUUUCUUGGCUCGUGCCUAUUCAUUGGCAACACUCACUUUCUCACUUUCUUCAUCAUCUUCCUUUUCAUCUUCUCACUUAUACCACCAUACCAUUAGCUGACUACAAGAUAAACCUGAAUAGAUGCAAUUACCCAUUGAUAAUGACCAAUUUAAUAAUGGAGUGGACAUUCAGAUUGGAAUGAAAAAUUAUGGAAAUCAAAUUUAACUUCAUGGUUAUAAAUGGGCUUUCAAGUUUUUAAGAUAAAUGGAAUUGAAUAUUGAAACAAAAAUGGAUAAAAAUGGUAGACAUGGAAAGCAAAGGAGAGCAGAGCUGAAUUUAAGAACAUAAUAAUAAUAUUAAUAACAACUUUAAUAAUACUUGUCCAGAUAAUUUAUAUCAAUAUUAUUAUAAACUGAAAGGUUCAUUUUUAUGUCUUAUAAAGCCAACAACUACACCAUUAUUAACCAAGUUCAUGUUCCCUGGCUACAAAAAAACGGAUGAAAUGGAUUCCCAAUGGACAAAAGGAAAAGAGUUAAAGGAUGGUGAAAAUUCAUUCUUUUCCAUUUUUAUCUUCAUCAUCUUCAUCAUCACUAUUAAUUAAACCACAUAAAAGCAACAUUAUACUUUAUAUUAUGUAUUAUUUUAAAGUUACUUUUUUUGCUGGCCAUUUUCUUCCUCUUCGCCAACCUCUUCUCCUUCAUCUCAUUUUUUGGCGAUUUAUGGUUUCAUCCAUUUUUGCUGUUGCUCCUGCUCUUGUUUCAUGUAAAAAUGUUAAUUGCCAUUAUUGAUAAUCACAUCUCGACGGAAGUUUCAAACCUGUUUGUUUGCCUAAUAAGAUGUUUGUAAUGAUUGACAAAGGAGAGGAAGGGUGACCAGUUGAAAGGAUGAUCAAGAUAAACAAAUAAACAACAACAAAAGGAGACGAAUAAUGAAACAGGAAACAGGAAGAUAAAGAAUCCUCUUUUAGCAUCUUCCUUUUUUCAGCUCUUUAUUGUCGCAUGAUACUCAUUGUGUAAAAAACUGUACCAACUUCAUGACUUUGGACAACAAUUCAACUUGACUUGAUCAACUUUCUUUUGGAUCCAUUGUUAAUCAAAGUGCAUUCCCAAUUGGAAGCUGUAAACAGAUUCAUAAGUCAAAAUUUAAACAAAAUUCAAAACCAAAAUUGGAUCAAAAGCUGAAUUAGGAAUUGGAUCCGAAUCUGAUUCAAAAUGAAUCCGAACUGAAUCCAUGACUGAAUUCAACUAUUCAAGUCAUUCGCAAAUGAAAUUAAGCUGAUUAUUUAAACUCAUGGAUCGUUGAGAUAUUUUUUAACUAUCCUGAAUUCACCAGUUAUCCUUAAACAUGGAAUUGUGUCGUCUCAUCAAAACUCAAGUCAAUCAUCCUGGCAAUGACUGUUGGAUCAAUGUUAUCAAAUUAUUGGUUAAAUUAUCUCAUUACUGAAUUACUCCUGUCUAAACCUUGGGUAAAGAAAGACAUUUAAGAUGGCAUUAAAAGAUCAAGAUAUUGUAUGAAAAGCUGGACAAUCGAGACAAGAUGGACAGAAUAUCAACAAUUGGCGCAGAUUAACCAACCUUUGUAAUCUCUUAUUAAUCAACUUGUUUUUCUUGGUCUAUUAUCCUCAGUGUUUUAGCUCAAUUGAUCAACUCACCACUGGAAACCAAACAAUUUUGAUUAGGUUAUCCGCAACAAGUUGACAGGAAAAAAAGCGAACAGAAAAGGAUGAGAAAAAAAUAAGGUUUAAUGGAUCAUUUGUAAGGGUAAUAGGAUGAAAAAAAUUGGAUCUUCAUCCUCUCAGGGGAAAUGUUUCAGGGUGAGAAAAGAUUCAAGUGAUGAGAGGAUGAUAAUGUGUAAAAAAAGAUGCUUACUCUCUAUAAACAUUUCCCUUGUUCAACUAUAGAUGAAAAAAAAGAAGGCAAAAAAUGGUUUUCUUGGGAAGAGCAAGAAGAUAAAAAGAUCGGGGUGAGAAGAUGAGGAUGAAGAUGCUGAUGAUGAUGCAGUUUAUAGAGUAAACUUGAAUGUAAGGAAAUAAGCUUAAGGAGCAAAAAAAGAUUCAGGGUGAGGCGGAAGGUUAGAGAAUCUGAAUGAGUGAGAAGUUCCUAUGGAAACUAAAUGUUUCCCUUUCUUUUUAUUAACUUAAUUUAUCAACUUGUUGAAAGUUAAUGAAAAUGAUUUGUUCAUUUUGCUCAUCAUUUAUCCAUUCAAUUAUUCAUCACUUAUUUCAUUGACAAACAAUCAAAUAACCAACAUAAAUGAAACAAAUUGAUCCUCAGCAAAAUUGUUUGGUCCAGUAAAUGGUCAUUUAGAUUGAAACGCUUUCCCUUCCAAUUGCCUAGAAAAACAAGUUUGAUUGAUAAAAUAUUAUCUAACCAAAGUGACCAAAUCCUGAAAAAGCUGAGUCGAAAAAAUUGAAUCUUUCCUGAGUUUGAUGAAAUUAGAAUUGAAUGGUUAAUGAAAAUGUUGGCUAAUUUUCACUUCUAAUGUAAAUAACUUUCACAGAAAGAAAUCAGUUUUUUUCAAUUUCAACCCAACAUUCGUAAUUAAAUCAUAAUUGGUGAAAUGGGUUAAGAUUGAAAAUUAAUUGGUAAACAGGGAAAUGAAAAAAAAGGUUAACAUGUAAUAACAAUUUACUGUUCCUUGAGACUGGAAAUACAUAAUGAAAGGAAAAAAUCUUCAGAAUCAUCAACAUGUUCCUCUUCAAGUAAAGAAACCUCGGAGUCGAAAAAAAAGAGAAAAAAUCAACAUUAAUUAAUCUAAUUAACAAUCCUUUGAGUUUAGUUGUUCAACACAUAAAAAAAAGAUUCAUCUUAUCUCUAUCUUGUUCAUUGUUGAUGAGGAUGUCGUCUUCAUCUUCAUCCGUUUAUACAAUUUCCUAGUGACUGAACGGGAAAUGAGUCCAUGUUGGGUGAAAGCAAAAAAGGAGAAGAAAGAGCAAAAUAGAAAUUCGUAAAAAAGCAAUUUCUCGUCUUUAUUGGAAAGACAAACUCAUAAACUGAAUAUUUCAAGGAAAUUAUUAGAUGUUGGUAACAAUAUUAGACGAGAGUAAAAAAGGAAAGGAAAAAGAUGAUAAUGAUGAGGAUGAAGGCAAAAAACAUGAGAACAUGAAUUUGUAUGUUGAAUCCGGCAAAUGAAUGUUAAUACCUAAAACCUAACGGAUGUUAAUUUGAUGUGCAAAAAACACAAAACUGGCAAUGAUUAAGAUAUUAUUU
This is a long non-coding RNA of Tetranychus urticae (two-spotted spider mite), 4200 nucleotides long. RefSeq lists it as uncharacterized. NCBI's taxonomy places the organism in Eukaryota, Metazoa, Arthropoda, Arachnida, Trombidiformes, Tetranychidae. The record is from RefSeq and is a predicted model, not a curated record.